GGCGGCAGCGCAGGGCUGCGGCCGCCGGAGCGGGUGAGGGGCGGGGCGGAGAGAGACCCUGUGGCUGCUAUGGCCGCCUCCCCCUGCCCGCAGCCUGCCUUAAAUACUAUGGAGCGGCCGUAGCUGCGGCGCGCGCCGCUGCCGAGCGCACCAUGCGGGCUGUCAUCGCCUUGGCCGCGGCGCUGGGCAGCUUGCUGCUGGGCGGCUGCCUCCUGCGCCUGGGCGGCCAGCAGCCCCUCCGGGCCAGGGGCUGGGAGGAGGACGCGGGAGCAGCUGCUGUCACGCCGAAAGUGGUGCGAGCCCUCAGGUCCCCGCCGCCGUCCCCUCCUCAGGCCGAGAACAGAACAACUAUUAAUAAACAUGGAAUUUACCAGUUUGAACAGGCUUCAAAAUGUAAGGCAAUUCAGGACAACAUUUUGUCAUCAUCUAUCAAGAAGAAAAGAUAUUCAGAAGAUUAUUAUCUUCACAUAGUCACAAAACUGCAGAACUGCACCUGGAUACGGAGACCAGAAGAAUCUACAAAAUUCAGGUCAGAAUUAGCUUCCUGCUGUGAUGCAGUUCACAAUUUUAUUGCUUCUCAAAACAACACCCCACUGGGAAGUAACAUGAGUUACGAAGUGGACAGUAAAAAGACCAUCCUCAUUACAGAGGACAUUUUUAAGAUGCUGCCUGUGUCCUCUCCUCUGUCAGUCUAUCCCUUCAAGACCUGUGCCGUGGUUGGAAAUGGAGGCAUUCUGAAAAAUUCCAGCUGUGGAGCUGAGAUCGAUCGUUCUGACUUUGUGUUUAGGUGUAACCUCCCUCCAACCACGGGAAGCAUUAGCAAAGAUGUUGGCAAUAAAACAAACCUUGUGACUGUUAAUCCGAGUAUCAUAGCUCAGAAAUACAACAAACUAAAUGAAAAGAAGGCAGAAUUUCUGGAGAACAUUGCAGUCUAUGGAGAUGCUUUUCUUUUAUUGCCAGCAUUUUCCUUCAGAAGCAACACGGCCACUUCUUUUAAAGUAUAUCACACUCUGCAAGAGUUCAAAGCAACCCAAAGGGCAAUAUUUUUUCACCCCAUCUAUCUGAAAAGUCUUGCCCAGUUCUGGAGAACUAAGGGUGUGAAAGCCUACCGGUUGUCAUCUGGUUUUAUGAUCACUAGUGCUGCUCUUGAGCUGUGUGAGAAUGUGAAGCUUUAUGGCUUCUGGCCUUUCUCAAAAUCCACAGAGAAGAUGCCAAUCAGCCACCACUAUUACGACAAUCAGCUGCCUAAACCAGGUUUCCAUGCAAUGCCCAAAGAAUACAACCAGAUCCUUCAGCUUCAUGGCAAAGGCAUUUUGAAGUUGCAGUUUGGUAAAUGUGAAUCAGACUAAAAAGGGUGAUGAUCCUAAGGAGGCAAUUUGUGUAUAUCUCAGCAGUUCGAUGUUGGAUUUGGUCUGAUGUGAUUUUGUGAGCAUUAAACUACAUUAUUACAAUAGAGAAAUAUUUUACACUUGGGGAGAAAAGAAGUGAUUUUUCAUGCAGUGACUGCUACAUUUCCGAAUUUCGAGUAGUCAUUUUUUUAAAAUACAAAAUAGCAUUUAUUUGCAAAAUUCUGAAACUCCUGACUAUUGGUUUAAUUGUAGCAAAGCACAAUCUCAGGAUGGUGGCAAUAUGUGACAUUCAUCAUGUGUUGCUUCUUAAAGUAUCAUUAAAACAUUUUGAUGCAAGAUCUCUGGUUUUGUGAAUACCACAUAAUGCAGGCAAUAGUCUCUGUAUGGUAGCUGCAUGAGUUGGCAGUGAACGUGUUCAAUUAAGAACUUGAUCCUCUAAACACUAGCAUUUGUCUACAUGUGAAAGGUGAUGAGAAGAGCUACAGGAGAGUAAUUAAUUCAGAGCCAUGUCAUUCUUAGUUUGUCCCAGGGUGCACAGAUGAAAAAAUCCCUCAGGUUAGUCAAAUGGUUUAUGGGCUUUCGUUUUGUGGACAAUAGAUAAUACUGUGGAUUUAAUGGGAUCACUCAUGAAUGAUGUUAAUUUUGUAAACAAUAAGGACCAGAGCUGUGUAAUUGUUUUUAAACCCCUCUUCUUGCUUGCGUGCCUGUCUGAGGUCCAGUUCAGCUCCAAAUGAGGACAAUAAACUAGGUUCCAUGCUGAAAUCCCCAGAGUCUUGGUAGGGCAUGACUUUGCACACAUUCCUGCAAUCCCAGAUCUGUAUCUUGGCUGACAUACAAGGUGGACCAUUCAUUAGAAAAAAUAUUGGUACCAAACCUAUAAUUUCUUCUAUUUCUUUUUCACCUAGCAUAGGUCCUAUCAAUAUGUGACUACAGGUAAGGAAACUGCACUCUCAGCAUUAUUAGAAGAAUGUCCCUCUUACAGUCAACCCCAAGGUCUUCUCCUAUACCAGGACAUAUGAGAAAAGAACCUAGAGUCACUUAAUUUAAAACCCAUGCAGUUCUUGUGCUUUAAGUUUCCAUAUGGUCCAGGAAUACCUGUGGAGCAACAUCCUGUGACAAGAAGGUGAAAUAUCAGCCCAAUGGAAAGAAUCACGUUAGCACCUACGGCAGCUAUGACAAGCUAUUGUUCCCCUAGCUAUGGGUUAUAUGUUUUACUGCAGAAAAAAACCCAAACAAACAAACCAAAUAAAAACCAUCAAAAAAUUUGUAAUAACUGGUUUCUGUUACAAGAAGAGUUUCAGUGGCUUUUUUGAGCGUCUGUUGAAUGAUCAGUUCAAAGAUAGAGUGUCUUUCUUCUUUUACAGUCCGAUACUAUUGGGUAUUUUCUUUACUAAAACUCAUUUUGCCACUGUAGCAUUAAAUGCCCAAUCAAGUGAUUUGAAGAGCAUUCAGUAUUCCACUCAGUGAGGAUUGUAUCUGCAAAAAAAUCCUACUGAAAUGAGUUGAACCUUUUAAAAUAAGGUUCAAAAACACUUUUAAACUGAUCCUUUAUAAGAGCAUUUCUAUAUUGUUGUAAUAUUUGAAAGCUUACCUUGGCAGCAGUUUUAUAAUCACAUAAAUAAUCCUGAAAGUAUUAGAAUUAAUUGUUAUGGUUCCAGGUCUGUUGUCUGAGACACAUUCAGUAUCUUGAUACAUUUCCAAGAUAAUGAUAUCAGAAUCCAGUACUACUCCUACCCAAACACAACUGUCCAUAAAUCCUGGCUGCAUAUAUCAGCAAUAAAGUAAAUUUUUUGCAAAAUAAGGUUUUUAAAAAAUAGAUGGUGCUUGGGGGUGUUGAACGACACAACUAAUACAUGAGUGGACCUCUGAAUGUCAGUAGGGCUUUUAACAGAAAAAAAGGCAUCAGAAUUGAGUUGAUGGGUACAUCUGCGCUACCAGCUGGUGACUGAAAGUGGCAAGCACAAGGGUUUGAUUUACUGUGGUCUGUUAUGGCUCCAGCACCACACGUCCACAUUUUGCCUUCACCAGCAGUGAAAUUUGUGCCAGUUUUUGGCCGCAGGCAUCUCUGCUGUUCAUGUGCAGAGAGCUGGCUGCAGCAAGACCCUGCAUCCAUGUUACGUGUUAAGGAUGAUUGCCUACUGCAAGACCCUAGUUAUAGAUCAGAGUCAAAUUUGCUCCCAAGAGAGCUCCUCCUACACCAUAAAUCACUCACGGAGACUGUCCCUGAGUAUUUGUAGCUGGAAGCUGUGCAAAGUGAUGUACAUGUCCUUUGGGUGAUGCAAACAGCCUAGGUUGAGGAAAACCACAUCACAUUUCAUCCAGAGAGGCAAAGACGCACCUGUGUUCAUGCAAGGACUGUAAUUUAAUUUAUUCCAGUCUAGUGUAGUGCAAUGAGAUGAUCUUGGCUGUGCAGCAGCUACAUGCUUUGACUUGGAAAAAUUCAUUCAUCUUUUAGAGAUUGAGAGGAUCUUGCAUUGCGUCUAGAAAAAUUGCAAGUGUUUUGUUGUACAUAGAGGUGAUGCAAAUCAUUCACUGCUCUGAUUAAAUUCAAUGAACUACUCAGCAUGAGUAAAGUGGCAAAACCUGGUUGCGUGUAAGUAGAUGUUGAGUGGAGAAAAUUAAAUUUAUUUACAGAGGAGAGCAACUUUUUUCAAAAGUGUUUGUUAGUUAGCACUGUGUUGCAUUAUUUCAGUAAAUGAACGUAUGCAGUGUACCAGGACACACCAUAAAGAGCUGAAGUUACUGUGUGUCUGGACUAUUUCUGAACAGCUGUGUUAUUUAUAACAAACGUAUUAGUAACUGGAAAGGUUGUUGGAAUACAUUUUAAGAGAGGUUUAGCCAAAAAGAAGAAACAUAUUCUAGUGUCCUUGACAAAAAGAGGUCUUAACUGAAGGAGUGUGAUGUAGCACUCACAAAUGAGAGCAAACAGAAAGCCCUGUGGCAUGGACAGACACUGACUUUUUAGCGCUGUUCUAGCAAAGUUUAAACUUGCUGUUGACCUGAAGACCUGAUCCUCUGCUCUCAAAGCUCUCAGUGAUUUGUGUGGAGCGCAGGACUGACAAGAAAUGCAUGAAGGAAUUGUUAACCUUUCCUACCCUUUCCUACAAAUACUCUUAACUCCUCAUAGAAUAAAAAUAUGCUCUAGUAGACUGUAGAUUAAGAACCUAUUUUUAAUGUAGCUUUCUCAGGCCUUGCUCCAGACAUGAAGUUAUUACAAGAUGUUAGUUGCAUCCACUUCACUCCAGAGGAGUGCAGACCUUGUACUCGGCUUUAUUAUAGCUGCUGCCGCUGUGUGCUUGGUGGUUAGGUCGUGUUAAUUUGUGCAUAGGCUGGACAAGUUAAUAGUGCCUUUUCUGUGUGACAAGGUAUAGUUAGAUUGAUCAAGAGUUGCUGAAAUACACUCACUGUGGGAAAAAGAUGUUUUCUCGGGUAGCUGAAUAAAUUAUUUCUCAUUUAUUGGACAUCUGUGAUUUCUCAUUUAUUUUACAUCUGUGCCAGGUUAAUGAUAAAUAAAUGGAUUUUGUACACCACUGGGAAUGUUUGUGACACUUUUGCAAGGCUGAGCCAAGUGCAGUUUUGAUUAAGGGCUCUUGGCCAAAGGUUAGGAAGGGCCUUUCAGUUCCCUCUCUUUCACAUGAGGAAUAAUCAUUUUUAGGGUUUGUGGGCCUCCAAUGCUGUCACAUGCUGUGGAGUGAAUAUAGAGAUUAAAUAGUUUUCUAAAGAUAGAAGCACUGACAACGUGCUAAUAGUUCCACUGUACCUUUGCAGAGGCUGACGGUGUCCUUGCACAUGACGGCUUCACAGCAUUGCUAGAUUAAAGCCUGCUUGUCUGCUUUUAUUCUUUUUUCUCUUCUGAAUCUUUAAUGUUGCAUCUUCCUUUAGGAUCCAGCGCUGCCUUGAGUUGGUAAUGUCUCUUCCCCCUGGGGGGCAUUAUGUAGACCUGUUUAGUGUCUGUUAGGGCAUUUGUAUGGCAAUGAAUCAAACUCUGCUGUGAUUGCAGCAUAGUAAAGCAUACUUAAAAUGGCUUGGUUUACAUCUCAAGGAAGGCAGCAUGGUGGGAUAUUCACAUUGCCUAAUAGGAUGUGCUAAAUUUGGGCCGUAGCUCCCCAGUGGCUUAAGCUAUAAUGGCUGGCCACGCAGUCCAGUCCUUGUUCUUGCACUCCACCCCUUCCUUCACGCUGUCUCUGUCUCCUGUCUGAUCCUACACUGAGCCAGCAAGAACCUGACAUGGCAACAAAAAGAAAAUUGGUUCUUGCCAACAGAGCCAGGGGAAUUUCAGAGUCAAGGCAAAGGAGGGGGGAGACCAUGCAGAUGGGACUGUAGGGAUACAGCAGGGGCUGUUUGUAACCUGAUGGCUGUUGGACAGGCUCAAUGGUCCCCUGAAAUCUCAGUCAAGCCAGGAAGGUAACAUCUCUGGGGCCCUCCCCAGUCAGAAGGGGGAGAUGAACACCUGCAGGAGCUCAUCCUGGUGGGCAGGAGCCCCAUCUCUCCCUGCGGUGACAGAAGGCACCUAAGGACUCCAGGUGUCUGCACCGGUUGGUUGUUGCUCCCCUUCUCUUUUUGACAUUAAAGUAAUUUUAACAGGCUGUCCACCAUCUGCAGGCUCUGAAAUGAUAGCCAUGAAAAACCUUUGCCUGUAAAUACUAUUUCUCAGUUCCCUGAUAGUAAACUUGCAUAAACUUGCUUGUUAUUCAGCAUGCCUAUGCUUUCAGUCUCUGCUAAUCCCAGCAUUUCAGACAGCAUCUUUAGAGAAGAGAGCUCUGCAACGUCUGGCAGUUUUGAGACCAGUUAAUGUCACUUUGAUUCUCUUUCCUUUGUACAGUAGUGAGAUGUCUGACCAUAUUGCUGUGCCUGAGUCGAGAUGAAAUUCUCUGUCCUGUGUGAUUCAGGAAAAGAAACUAAAUGCUCUGGGUGACCUAGCACCUUCUGUGGGCUCUGCAAACUACUAGAAAAAAAGUAAUCCUGUUGUUUUGUAUGAUUUGAUUUUAUUCAGUGUGGGUAUCUGGAUCGGUUAAUUGCUCCGGGUUAAUGGAUCACUUAGACCUUGACCCUGCACAGACCCCGUGGUGGAGCUAUAGCCUGACACAGCAAUCUAGGUUUAAAAAACACUUCAUCUGGAGACCUUUGUCCUGUCACUGGCUCUCAUGUGAUGAAUCUGUGGAGUGAGAUCCUGAACAUCCGUGCAGUAGCUCUUCCAGGGACUCUCAGGUCCACAAAGCACAUGUCCACUUGUGUACAGCAGUCUGUGUGAGAUGAAGCCCAAGGGAUGUUCUGUGGAGUGCUUAUUCUGAAACAGCUUUAUUUCAAACAGCUGACAGCCACUUGCUGCACACCCUGAAGCACUAGACUUCUUACACAUGAACUUGUUAGUUAACUGUAUCUUAGGUUGCAAUAUUCACAGCCAGGUAAUCCUUCAUCUUGUGGUACUUCAGCAGCUGAUCUCUUUCAUCUCUGGGUCUGCUAGCCAAGAACGGUGACAAAGCACAGGGAAGCAAAGCUGAAUUAGUCCAGAAGCUCACAUCCCACCACUGUCAUUGGAGGAAGAAUGCCGGAUGCGCUGGGAGGAAGACACAAGUAUUAGAAAUGGAAUAACUUUCAUCUUCUAGAUUGCUUUAUUAGGUAUUCUGAGAGACUUCUAGGGCAAAAAUAAUCUGACUGAAUUCUAAGCGCAGCGCUGCAUGUAUAACUCCAAACUUGCAGGGGCAUUAGUUCUUUUUGUUUAGCUUUUAAUUUCCUUUAAAAGGAAGAAAAUUACUCUUGCAUUGUAUGUGAAGAUAUAACAAAUUAAAAACACUCAGUAAUGGUCCCUCAGUUCGAA
Molecule: non-coding RNA, 7167 nt
Organism: Phalacrocorax carbo (great cormorant)
Lineage: Eukaryota; Metazoa; Chordata; Aves; Suliformes; Phalacrocoracidae
Source: RefSeq, a predicted model, not a curated record